UACGUAGGGUGCAAGCGUUAAUCGGAAUUACUGGGCGUAAAGCGUGCGCAGGCGGUUCGCUAAGACAGAUGUGAAAUCCCCGGGCUUAACCUGGGAACUGCAUUUGUGACUGGCGGGCUAGAGUAUGGCAGAGGGGGGUAGAAUUCCACGUGUAGCAGUGAAAUGCGUAGAGAUGCGGAGGAACACCGAUGGCGAAGGCAAUCCCCUGGACCUGUACUGACGCUCAUGCACGAAAGCGUGGGGAGCAAACAGG
RNAcentral lists this ribosomal RNA (253 nucleotides) under uncultured bacterium. Its description in RNAcentral is "partial 16S ribosomal RNA". It matches the Rfam family "Bacterial small subunit ribosomal RNA", at positions 524 to 776 of the family's 1533-position model. The record is from RNAcentral.